GAGAAGAUAGUCAAGCGUCCACCUGUCUGUCUCCCACCUGACUCUGAAGAAAAUGAGGAUCUCAACUGUCUUUCUGGUUGUUGCUCUUUUGGUCUUCGCCUGUGAAGCGAAGGCUUUAAAUGAUAUUGAUCACCUUUAUGAUAUCGGCGGUGCAGAUUAUCUUGCAGCAAAAGGAAAUCUAGCUGCAGACAAACUGGCUGGUGGACUCUGGGCAGACAGAGCUCUUUGGAAACAUGACUGAAUCUCAUCAAGUGAUUCCAUGAUCUGAUCAUCACUUCGGCAGAUGCUGUGAGCUACAUCCUGAUAUCAACCUGCCCUUCUUCACCUUC
This is a long non-coding RNA of Synchiropus splendidus (mandarinfish), 329 nucleotides long. RefSeq lists it as uncharacterized. NCBI's taxonomy places the organism in Eukaryota, Metazoa, Chordata, Actinopteri, Syngnathiformes, Callionymidae. The record is from RefSeq and is a predicted model, not a curated record. The transcript has 4 exons.